Long non-coding RNA from Bubalus bubalis (water buffalo), 638 nucleotides. RefSeq lists it as uncharacterized. NCBI's taxonomy places the organism in Eukaryota, Metazoa, Chordata, Mammalia, Artiodactyla, Bovidae. The transcript is spliced from 3 exons. The record is from RefSeq and is a predicted model, not a curated record.
UGGGAUCCAGGCCCAGGGACAGGGAGCAGCUGGGCUCUGAGGUGACACGGCCAUUACCCUGGGAGCUGACCCACCCCCUUGGGGCUCCAGCCCGGGGCUCUGACCACCGUGGGAUCCUGCCCUCCAGAACUGAAGAGGUGCUGGCUCUCUCCCUCCUGCCCUCGGGCUGGCCUCCUGUCCGACGCUAAUCUGUGAAGCCCUGCCCAGCCAGGCUCAGAGGACGCUCAGGGCUGGGGUGGGGCCCAGACUCCCUUAGGAGCGAGACAGGGAUGCAGUCAACACCUGGAAAGAGGCCAAAUGGACGCCUGGAGCAGCUGCUCGGAAGGUCACAAGUCAGUUCAACUGCCGGUCUCCUGCCGGGACUGUCACACAUCUGUUUUCCAUGCUACAUGUCCACCUUCGGCAGCACCCUCCCUAUACCCAACUGAGGCUGACCUGGCUCCUGGGCUCAAGUGGUUUCCACCCACAUGAACCCCCACUCUGCUGUUAUGAUCCUCUCCAUCACUAACGCACUGGAGAACCACUGGUGAGUCCUGGACCUGAGUGUGAAACAGCUCCCUGUUAAGCCAACCCCCUUGCAUGGUGAGAAGGAGACCACGUUUUAGGUAGAACCACUGAUCAAUUCUCCUACCCCGCCC